CAAUAGCGUAUAUUAAAGUUGUUGCGGUUAAAAGCUCGUAGUUGGAUUUCUGUCGGUGAGUAGCAGUCCGCUCACAGUGGUUGGUACUUGUUAUCCCACCGGCAUCUUCCUGGGGACUGUGUCUGCUCUUUAUUGAGUGGCGCAUAAUCCAGGACUUUUACUUUGAGGAAAUAGGAGUGUUUCAAGCAGGCAAUCGCCGUGAACAUGUUAGCAUGGAAUAAUAGCAUCGGACCUCGUUCCAAAGCUGUUGGUUUCUUGGACCGAGGUAAAGGUGAAUAGGGGAUUGUUGGGGGCAUUGCGUAUUUAAUCUGUCAGAGGUGAAAUUCUUGGAUUUGUUGAAGACGGACUACUGCGAAAGCAUCUGCCAAAGAUGUUCUCAUUGAUCAAGAACGAAAGUUAGGUGAUCGAAGACGAUUAGAUACCA
RNAcentral lists this ribosomal RNA (424 nucleotides) under uncultured eukaryote. Its description in RNAcentral is "SSU rRNA". It matches the Rfam family "Eukaryotic small subunit ribosomal RNA", at positions 592 to 1017 of the family's 1831-position model. The record is from RNAcentral.